Molecule: ribosomal RNA, 464 nt
Filed under: uncultured bacterium
Lineage: Bacteria
Description: partial 16S ribosomal RNA
Rfam family: Bacterial small subunit ribosomal RNA
Source: RNAcentral
ACGAACGCUGGCGGCGUGCUUAACACAUGCAAGUCGAACGGAAAGGCCCUGCUUGCAGGGUACUCGAGUGGCGAACGGGUGAGUAACACGUGGGUGAUCUGCCCUGCACUUCGGGAUAAGCCUGGGAAACUGGGUCUAAUACCGGAUAGGAGCCAUUUUUAGUGUGAUGGUUGGAAAGUUUUUUCGGUGUAGGAUGAGCUCGCGGCCUAUCAGCUUGUUGGUGGGGUAAUGGCCUACCAAGGCGGCGACGGGUAGCCGGCCUGAGAGGGUGGACGGCCACAUUGGGACUGAGAGACGGCCCAGACGCCUACGGGAGGCAGCAGUGGGGAAUAUUGCACAAUGGGCGCAAGCCUGAUGCAGCGACGCCGCGUGGGGGAUGACGGCCUUCGGGUUGUAAACUCCUUUCGCUAGGGACGAAGCUUUUUGUGACGGUACCUAGAUAAGAAGCACCGGCUAACUACGUG